UGGCUGGCAGGAUGAAACCAUAGCGACCGGUAUCCCUCAGCUCGAAGGCAAAGGAGUACUUGAUGCCCAGGUUGUAAGACCAGUCAAUGCUGCCGCCGCUGGCUUGAUCUGAGAGGAGAGGAAGAGCUCAGGCUGAUGGGGCACGUCUCUGCAGGAGUAGCCGUGGGGGUACAUGAGCAGCUGGGAGUAGGCAUGGACGGAGAUGAAGGACUUGAAGUUGCCGUGGCUCUUGAUCAGGUUCACCACGUUCUUCACCUCAAUCUCAGAUUUUCUUUAUAGUCUCUGGAGGAGAUCUAACACAUUUCAGUUCAACUUAUCGCCCGCUCUCGUCGACGUGUUAUACCUUGUUGGCCGUCCACACUCCGGUAGCCUGAGACACCCAUUCUCUGGAGUGGAUGCCCGUG
Sebastes umbrosus (honeycomb rockfish) is the source of this 404-nucleotide long non-coding RNA. RefSeq lists it as uncharacterized. The transcript is spliced from 3 exons. Lineage: Eukaryota; Metazoa; Chordata; Actinopteri; Perciformes; Sebastidae. The record is from RefSeq and is a predicted model, not a curated record.